RNAcentral lists this ribosomal RNA (339 nucleotides) under uncultured Pseudomonas sp. RNAcentral describes it as "bacterial SSU rRNA". It matches the Rfam family "Bacterial small subunit ribosomal RNA", at positions 1041 to 1382 of the family's 1533-position model. Lineage: Bacteria; Pseudomonadati; Pseudomonadota; Gammaproteobacteria; Pseudomonadales; Pseudomonadaceae. The record is from RNAcentral.
CUGCAUGGCUGUGUCAGCUCGUGUCGUGAGAUGUUGGGUUAAGUCCCGUAGCGAGCGCAACCCUGUCCUUAGUUACCAGCACGUUAUGGUGGGCACUCUAAGGAGACUGCCGGUGACAAACCGAGGAAGGUGGGGAUGACGUCAAGUCAUCAUGGCCCUUACGGCCUGGGCUACAUACGUGCUACAAUGGUCGGUACAAAGGGUUGCCAAGCCGCGAGGUGGAGCUAAUCCCAUAAAACCGAUCGUAGUCCGGAUCGCAGUCUGCAACUCGACUGCGUGAAGUCGGAAUCGCUAGUAAUCGUGAAUCAGAAUGUCACGGUGAAUACGUUCCCGGGCCUU